This 240-nucleotide ribosomal RNA is filed under the name uncultured bacterium. RNAcentral describes it as "partial 16S ribosomal RNA". It matches the Rfam family "Bacterial small subunit ribosomal RNA", at positions 945 to 1181 of the family's 1533-position model. The record is from RNAcentral.
GGUUUUAAUUCGAAGCAACGCGAAGAACCUUACCUGAUCUUGACAUCCCGAUGACCGCUUCGUAAUGGAAGCUUUUCUUCGGAACAUCGGUGACAGGUGGUGCAUGGUUGUCGUCAGCUCGUGUCGUGAGAUGUUGGGUUAAGUCCCGCAACGAGCGCAACCCCUAUCUUCAGUAGCCAGCAGGUUAAGCUGGGCACUCUGGAGAGACUGCCAGGGAUAACCUGGAGGAAGGUGGGGAUG